Molecule: ribosomal RNA, 510 nt
Filed under: uncultured bacterium
Lineage: Bacteria
Description: bacterial SSU rRNA
Rfam family: Bacterial small subunit ribosomal RNA
Source: RNAcentral
GACGAACGCUGGCGGCGUGCCUAACACAUGCAAGUCGAACGGAGAAUGUCUCUGAGUUUACUUAGAGAGAUUCUUAGUGGCGGACGGGUGAGUAACGCGUGGGUAACCUACCCAUCAAGCCGGGACAACCCUUGGAAACGAGGGCUAAUACCGGAUAAACUUAAGAUGUGGCAUCACAUCUUAAGGAAAGAUGGCCUCUGAAAAUGCUAUCGAUGAUGGAUGGACCCGCGUCUGAUUAGCUGGUUGGUGGGGUAAAGGCCUACCAAGGCGACGAUCAGUAGCCGGCCUGAGAGGGUGAACGGCCACACUGGGACUGAGACACGGCCCAGACUCCUACGGGAGGCAGCAGUGGGGAAUCUUCCGCAAUGGACGAAAGUCUGACGGAGCAACGCCGCGUGUAUGAUGAAGGUCUUCGGAUUGUAAAGUACUGUCAUUGGGGAAGAACGGUCUCUUUGAAAAUAUUGAGGAGACAUGACGGUACCCAAGGAGGAAGCCCCGGCUAACUACGUG